AGAUCUACAGCUAAGGUCCCAAAUGAACACUAAGUGGAAAAUGAUGUGAAACUGCGAAGACAACCAGGAUGUUGGCUUAGAAGCAGCGUUCAUUCAAAGAGUGCGUAAUAGCUCACUGGUCGAGUGACGCUGCGCCGAAAAUGUAUCGGGGCUAAACGAUUCACCGAAGCUGUGGAUGGACACUUUAAGUGUCCGUGGUAGGAGAGCGUUCUAAUUGCUGUGAAGUCAGAUCGUAAGGACUGGUGGAGCGAUUAGAAGUGAGAAUGCCGGUAUGAGUAGCGAAAGAUGAGUGAGAAUCUCAUCCACCGAAUGACUAAGGUUUCCUGAGGAAGGCUCGUCCGCUCAGGGUUAGUCGGGACCUAAGCCGAGGCCGAUAGGCGUAGGCG
Molecule: ribosomal RNA, 386 nt
Filed under: Acinetobacter baumannii
Lineage: Bacteria; Pseudomonadati; Pseudomonadota; Gammaproteobacteria; Moraxellales; Moraxellaceae
Description: partial 23S ribosomal RNA
Rfam family: Bacterial large subunit ribosomal RNA
Source: RNAcentral